UGGACCAAUGAUGACCACUGGUGGCGUCUGAGUCAUGGACAAUGAACAGAACGCGUGUGGAACUCUGAAGUCCUA
Echinops telfairi (small Madagascar hedgehog) is the source of this 75-nucleotide small nucleolar RNA. Lineage: Eukaryota; Metazoa; Chordata; Mammalia; Afrosoricida; Tenrecidae. The record is from Ensembl.